Molecule: ribosomal RNA, 273 nt
Filed under: uncultured bacterium
Lineage: Bacteria
Description: partial 16S ribosomal RNA
Rfam family: Bacterial small subunit ribosomal RNA
Source: RNAcentral
AACGUAGGACGCAAGCGUUAUCCGGAAUUACUGGGCGUAAAGCGCGUGUAGGUGGUUGCAUAAGUCACUGUUGAAAGCUCCCGGCUAAACUGGGAGAGGUGCGGUGAGACUGUGCGGCUAGAGUAUGGGAGAGGGAUGCAGAAUUCCGGGUGUAGUGGUGAAAUGCGUAGAGAUCCGGAGGAAUACCAGAGGCGAAGGCGGCAUCCUGGCCUGAAACUGACACUGAGACGCGAAAGCAUGGGGAGCGAACGGGAUUAGAAACCCCCGUAGUCC